Molecule: transfer RNA, 85 nt
Filed under: Frateuria aurantia DSM 6220
Lineage: Bacteria; Pseudomonadati; Pseudomonadota; Gammaproteobacteria; Lysobacterales; Rhodanobacteraceae
Description: tRNA-Ser
Source: RNAcentral
GGAGAGAUGGCCGAGCGGUUUAAGGCAGCCCUCUUGAAAACGGCCGUAGGUGUAAGCCUACCGUGGGUUCGACCGGCUCCAUCGG